AACGCACAUUGCACCUUCUGGUAUUCCGGAGGGUAUACCUGUUUGAGCGUCAUUUAUAUACUCAAAAACUUUAUUGUUUUUGGUUAUGGGCAUCUAUUCUUGAUUGAAUUUGCCUGAAAUACAACGGUAGAGUGGUCACUGGAAGACAGGUUUAACCAAUGCUAUUAAAUUUAUCGUUGGGCAGGUCUGUUCUUUAAGGUGACUAUGCUUCCUUAACGUCCUUGUGGACAACAUUUCUUAAAUUUUGACCUCAAAUCAGGCAGGAGUACCCGCUGAACUUAA
Molecule: unclassified non-coding RNA, 282 nt
Filed under: uncultured Lipomyces
Lineage: Eukaryota; Fungi; Ascomycota; Lipomycetes; Lipomycetales; Lipomycetaceae
Description: sequence contains ITS2
Source: RNAcentral